This 421-nucleotide ribosomal RNA is filed under the name uncultured eukaryote. RNAcentral's name for it is "SSU rRNA". It matches the Rfam family "Eukaryotic small subunit ribosomal RNA", at positions 592 to 1018 of the family's 1831-position model. The record is from RNAcentral.
CAAUAGCGUAUAUUAAAGUUGUUGCGGUUAAAAGCUCGUAGUUGGAUUUCUGUCGAAGACGGCCGGUCCGCUCUAUGAGCGUGUAUCUGGUUCGGCUUUGGCAUCCUCGUGGGGAACGUAACUGUGCUUGAUUGCAUGGUGCGGAAUUCACGACUUUUACUUUGAGGAAAUUAGAGUGUUCACGGCAGGCAAGCGCCUUGAAUACAUUAGCAUGGAAUAAUAAUAUAGGACUUUGGUUCUAUUUUGUUGGUUUCUAGAACUAAAGUAAUGAUUAAUAGGGAUAAUUGGGGGCAUUCGUAUUUAACUGUCAGAGGUGAAAUUCUUGGAUUUGUUAAAGACGAACGACUGCGAAAGCAUUUGCCAAGGAUGUUUUCAUUGAUCAAGAACGAAAGUUAGGGGAUCGAAGACGAUCAGAUACCAU